UCCGUAGCCGGCUUGACAAGUCUUCUGUUAAAUCCAGCAACCCAAUUGUUGGACUGCGGGAGAUACUGUCUAGCUAGAGAACGGGAGAAGCCGACGGUACUCUCAGGGUAGGAGUGAAAUCCUAUAAUCCUGGGAGGACCACCAGUGGCGUAGGCUGUCGGCUAGAACGUGUCUGACGGUGAGGGACGAAAGCUUGGGGAGCGAACCGGAUUAGAUACCCGGGUAGUCCAAGCUGUAAACGAUGCGGGCUAGGUGUUGGGGUGGCUACGCGCCACUUCAGUGCCGCAGGGAAGCCGCUAAGCCCGCCGCCUGGGGAGUACGGUCGCAAGGCUGAA
RNAcentral lists this ribosomal RNA (335 nucleotides) under uncultured bacterium. RNAcentral describes it as "bacterial SSU rRNA". It matches the Rfam family "Archaeal small subunit ribosomal RNA", at positions 518 to 853 of the family's 1478-position model. The record is from RNAcentral.